GCUGGGCAUGGUGGUGCAUGCCUGUAAUCCCAGCUACUCGGGAGGCUGAGGCAGGAGAAUUGCUUGAACCCAGGAGUUGGAGUUUGCAGUGAGCCAAGAUCGUGCCAUUGCUCUCUAGCCUAGGUGACAGAGUGAGACUCUGCCUCAA
Unclassified non-coding RNA from Macaca fascicularis (crab-eating macaque), 148 nucleotides. It matches the Rfam family "Metazoan signal recognition particle RNA". From Rfam's summary of the family: The signal recognition particle (SRP) is a universally conserved ribonucleoprotein. It is involved in the co-translational targeting of proteins to membranes. The eukaryotic SRP consists of a 300-nucleotide 7S RNA and six proteins: SRPs 72, 68, 54, 19, 14, and 9. The record is from Ensembl. NCBI's taxonomy places the organism in Eukaryota, Metazoa, Chordata, Mammalia, Primates, Cercopithecidae.